GAUUCAAUGGGGUCUUGCUGUUUCUGCUGAAUCGUGCUGAUUCAUGUUGUUUGGUGUUGGCAUUUGGACUGGACUGCUGGUACCUGGACAAUGAAGAGUGGACUUGUCCCAAGGAAGCUGCAGCAGAUGUGGGCUAAGCCUGGAAAACCAGAAAGGGGCCAGAGAGCGGAAGAAAAGGCGCUGUCAGAGCGGGCAGAGGUGCUAAGACCCAGAGAGGGCAAGUAGGAUGACACAGCAGGGCACUGGGGCCCAUAGGGCACACGUGGUCACACGCUUGUGAUUUGCUAAGAAGGCACUGUCAAUGGAUAAGGCAGGU
This is a long non-coding RNA of Meriones unguiculatus (Mongolian gerbil), 316 nucleotides long. RefSeq lists it as uncharacterized. Lineage: Eukaryota; Metazoa; Chordata; Mammalia; Rodentia; Muridae. The record is from RefSeq and is a predicted model, not a curated record. The transcript is spliced from 3 exons.